GGAAGAACCCAGCGGACGACAUCUAUGUUCAGCGAGUCAGGUUUGGAAAAAAGCAGCUCAAAUAUAUUUAGCGGGUCGCUGUCGUUCUUCCGCC
This 94-nucleotide non-coding RNA is filed under the name Alphaproteobacteria bacterium. Lineage: Bacteria; Pseudomonadati; Pseudomonadota; Alphaproteobacteria. The record is from RNAcentral.